AUGAGGAAGAGCGCGGUCAUACCUGUACGCUGCUCACAGGACCAGAUUGAGGGAAUUGUUGCCACACUUGGUUGUGCGUUGGGAAGCUUUCCUUGCAAAUACCUUGGCUUGUCGCUCACUCUCAGGAAACAAGCAGCAGCGCAAUUGCAAUAUCUAGUGGAUGGCCUUGGCGCAUGCUUGCCAUCUUGGCGGGCCUCCGCGCUGCCCAAGAGUGGGCGUCUCCUCCUAGUGAUGUCGGUCCUCAGCGCAAUGCCUCUUCACGCGAUGAUGGCCCUAGACCUGCCAGCAAGAACGAUCAACACGCUCAACAAGAUCAUCCGAGGGUUUCUUUGGUGUGGAAAGAAGGAAGCAAGGGGUGGCCACUGCGCGGUUGCAUGGUCAUCAGUGUGCAUGCCCAAGUGGGAUGGCGGCCUUGGAAUCCCAGAUAUGAGGUGGCUCAAUACGGCCAUGCAAGUUAGGUGGCCGUGGCUGCAGCGGGUGGACCAAACCAGGUGUUGGUAG
RNAcentral lists this ribosomal RNA (501 nucleotides) under Triticum aestivum (bread wheat). RNAcentral describes it as "partial small subunit ribosomal RNA". Lineage: Eukaryota; Viridiplantae; Streptophyta; Magnoliopsida; Poales; Poaceae. The record is from RNAcentral.